This 351-nucleotide ribosomal RNA is filed under the name Triticum aestivum (bread wheat). RNAcentral describes it as "partial small subunit ribosomal RNA". The record is from RNAcentral. Lineage: Eukaryota; Viridiplantae; Streptophyta; Magnoliopsida; Poales; Poaceae.
AUGGUGCCCGGAGCAGGGAGACAAGGGAUGCUCGGCCCGAACAAGGAUACAACACAGCUAGACCUACCAAGCCUAAACCAAGAGCGGUCAAGUCGAACCAGUGAGAAUACCAACAUCGUGAAAACCAAAACCGGGGACACCGCGAGCAAGCAAGAUAGCGCCUUCAAGAAGGAAUACGACGCCGAGACGCCAUCGCCAUCCGGUCUAGAGGACCUAGGGUUUCCCCUGAGCUCGAGGAGGGGCUCAGCCGAGGACCUUGACAACGUCUUCAAGAAGAUAACGACAUCCGCAGACGCCGCCGCUGCCAGCACCGGCAAGCCGGGCAAGGAUUUCACCCCGGCCGAAGGCUGA